GGGGCUGUGGCGAAAUGGCAGACGCGAGUGACUUAAAAUCACCUGCUCGGAAGAGCGUGUGGGUUCGAGUCCCACCAGCCCUA
RNAcentral lists this transfer RNA (83 nucleotides) under Anaerolineae bacterium. RNAcentral describes it as "tRNA-Leu". It matches the Rfam family "tRNA". Rfam says of the family: Transfer RNA (tRNA) molecules are approximately 80 nucleotides in length. Their secondary structure includes four short double-helical elements and three loops (D, anti-codon, and T loops). Lineage: Bacteria; Bacillati; Chloroflexota; Anaerolineae. RNAcentral also lists the same sequence under 1 other name. The record is from RNAcentral.